UUGCAGAUUAAGGGAAAGAACAAAUGUAUCAAAGAUAUAGGGAGGAGGCAGAAGCUGCUAGACUGAUGGAGGAGGAGAAGGCCUUGAAACAAUUACGGAAAAUUUUGGUGCCUCAUGCAAGAUCUGUGCCUAGAUUUGAUAAUCCUUUCCUCCCAGAGAAGUCUUCCAGAGCAGUGACAAAACCAAGAUCACCCAAGAAAUAGGCAAGAAAGGAGAAAAAUGGCGUGUCCUUAUGCAGCAGCAGUUCCUAGUGCUGCCUCCCUUUUUUUUUGCACGCGUAUUCACAGGUCUUCCAGAGCAGUGACAAAACCAAGAUCACCCAAGAAAGAGGCAAGAAAGGAGAAAAAUGGCGUGUCCUUAUGCAGCAGCAGUUCCUAGUGCUGCCUCCCUUUUUUUUUGCACGCGUAUUCACAGGUCUUCCAGAGCAGUGACAAAACCAAGAUCACCCAAGAAAUAGGCAAGAAAGGAGAAAAAUGGCGUGUCCUUAUGCAGCAGCAGUUCCUAGUGCUGCCUCCCGGAUGAGGUGAACUUAUAAAUUCUUAGAAAGACAAUGAAGGAGAAAGAUGUCCCCAGUGAGGUCAAAAACGUUUAAUGAUUCAAAAACUGGGGAUGAAUUGUUCAAGAAUCCUUGAACCCCAUGGAGAGAUGAGGGACAAUGCUACCAAAUGGCUGGAACCAGUACUGUGUUUGUCUGUAAAAGAUGUGCCUUUUUUGGUAUAUAAUGAAUUCUUCGAAAUAUAUGUUCGUUAGCAGAUUUUAUUUCAUUGUGAAUUGAAUAUACAUACCAAAUAGUUUUUAUAUA
Molecule: non-coding RNA, 802 nt
Organism: Nicotiana tabacum (common tobacco)
Lineage: Eukaryota; Viridiplantae; Streptophyta; Magnoliopsida; Solanales; Solanaceae
Source: RefSeq, a predicted model, not a curated record